CGGGGCGUGGCGCAGUUUGGCAGCGCGCUUGACUGGGGGUCAAGAGGUCGCAGGUUCAAAUCCUGUCGCUCCGACCA
RNAcentral lists this transfer RNA (77 nucleotides) under Bacillota bacterium. RNAcentral describes it as "tRNA-Pro". It matches the Rfam family "tRNA". From Rfam's summary of the family: Transfer RNA (tRNA) molecules are approximately 80 nucleotides in length. Their secondary structure includes four short double-helical elements and three loops (D, anti-codon, and T loops). Further hydrogen bonds mediate the characteristic L-shaped molecular structure. tRNAs have two regions of fundamental functional importance: the anti-codon, which is responsible for specific mRNA codon recognition, and the 3' end, to which the tRNAs corresponding amino acid is attached (by aminoacyl-tRNA synthetases). tRNAs cope with the degeneracy of the genetic code in two manners: having more than one tRNA (with a specific anti-codon) for a particular amino acid; and 'wobble' base-pairing, i.e. permitting non-standard base-pairing at the 3rd anti-codon position. The record is from RNAcentral. Lineage: Bacteria; Bacillati; Bacillota. RNAcentral also lists the same sequence under 1 other name.